UACGUAGGGUGCGAGCGUUAAUCGGAAUUACUGGGCGUAAAGCGUGCGCAGGCGGCUUCGCAAGUCAGGCGUGAAAUCCCCGGGCUUAACCUGGGAAUGGCGUCUGAAACUACGGAGCUGGAGUGUGGCAGAGGGAGGUAGAAUUCCACGUGUAGCGGUGAAAUGCGUAGAUAUGUGGAGGAAUACCGAUGGCGAAGGCAGCCUCCUGGGCCAACACUGACGCUCAUGCACGAAAGCGUGGGGAGCAAACGGG
This 253-nucleotide ribosomal RNA is filed under the name uncultured bacterium. RNAcentral's name for it is "partial 16S ribosomal RNA". It matches the Rfam family "Bacterial small subunit ribosomal RNA", at positions 524 to 776 of the family's 1533-position model. The record is from RNAcentral.